UUUUUGUGCACAUGCACAGCAAUGCAUGUUGAAUAUCUUGCUCCCUUUUGAAAUAAAGCACACUCUCCUCACAGCCACCUGUGAAAUGGCACAAACAAAACCCUACUUCUCCUGAGAGCAGCAAGGUACGAUACCAACAACAGGGAUGGUCUAGAAGAACAGGAAAUCCAGGAUUAAACUGCCGUAGCAGAGAAAUGCAAACCAAAGCCCGGUGAAUCUGUAGCAGGUGGGAAUAAGGAAAAGGAUGAUGCUGCCAUUGUUAUUUCUGAAGGUCAUAGUUAUGUCUGGGAAUUAUUUUCACUUCAAGACUGUAAUUCAUGGCCAGCAGGUUCCUAAAGGCUCCAGAAUGUGCCUCUGGGAAUGGAGCUGCCAUGAGUGUAGGGAGCAAGAAAUGUAAUCGAAGGAAGAGUGAGAUAGAGGGGAAAAGAAGUAACAUGAAAGAAAUGUAAGGAGAAUGAUAUCCUGCAAUGAGGAUGACAGGCAAUGACAGGAGUUCAUUUUGGAUACGAAGUACUUCUUAACACACUGUGUCAACAUAAGAAGUAGGGAAGGAAUGAAGCAGAGGAAAAGGAAAAUAAACAAAUAGAGAGAAAGUGUGAAGAAAAUUAA
RNAcentral lists this long non-coding RNA (609 nucleotides) under Numida meleagris (helmeted guineafowl). Its description in RNAcentral is "lncRNA (ENSNMEG00000010765.1)". The record is from RNAcentral. Lineage: Eukaryota; Metazoa; Chordata; Aves; Galliformes; Numididae.